GGAGCUGUAGCUCAUUGGUAGAGCGCCCGCCUCGCAUGUGUGAGGUACUGAGUUCAAUCGUCAGCACCA
Molecule: transfer RNA, 69 nt
Filed under: Ictidomys tridecemlineatus (thirteen-lined ground squirrel)
Lineage: Eukaryota; Metazoa; Chordata; Mammalia; Rodentia; Sciuridae
Description: Spermophilus tridecemlineatus (thirteen-lined ground squirrel) tRNA
Rfam family: tRNA
About the family: Transfer RNA (tRNA) molecules are approximately 80 nucleotides in length. Their secondary structure includes four short double-helical elements and three loops (D, anti-codon, and T loops).
Source: Rfam by way of RNAcentral